This 30-nucleotide non-coding RNA is filed under the name Rattus norvegicus (Norway rat). Lineage: Eukaryota; Metazoa; Chordata; Mammalia; Rodentia; Muridae. The record is from RNAcentral.
UCUCCAUGGCUUGCACAGUCGCUGGUGUGU